Molecule: long non-coding RNA, 3018 nt
Organism: Salvelinus fontinalis (brook trout)
Lineage: Eukaryota; Metazoa; Chordata; Actinopteri; Salmoniformes; Salmonidae
Exons: 3
Source: RefSeq, a predicted model, not a curated record
UCUCGCUGUAUACAGAUCUAAAUAUUGUUAGCCAAUCACAGACUGUGUUGUUACCAGUUCCCAGUAGCCUACAUCAGACAACCAAUAAGAGUUGGGUCUGUGGCUUUCAGUCGAAUAGAGUUCAUAGGCUUUCAUAGGCUUUCCCAGGGGCACUCGAUUUUCGAGAGUGUCUGGCCAAGAUAGUUUCCUUAGAGACGAUGAAAAGAAUUACCAAGAUGUCCUUGAUCCGACUGAGGAUCAAGAAGUGAUGAGCCAGAGCAACCAAUCAGCGUCCCUGCAGCUGUUCUACCCACCACCCCCACUGCUCUCCCUCCACAAGCAACCUCAUCCUCUUCUCCACAAGCAACCUCAUCCUCUUCUCCACAAGCAACCUCAUCCUCUUCUCCACAAGGAACCUCAUCCUCUUCUCCACAAGCAACCUCAUCCUCUUCUCCACAAGCAACCUCAUCCUCUUCUCCACAAGCAACCUCAUCCUCUUCUCCACAAGCAACCUCAUCCUCUUCUCCACAAGCAACCUCAUCCUCUUCUCCACAAGCAACCUCAUCCUCUUCUCCACAAGCAACCUCAUCCUCUUCUCCACAAGCAACCUCAUCCUCUUCUCCACAAGCAACCUCAUCCUCUUCUCCACAAGCAACCUCAUCCUCUUCUCCACAAGCAACCUCAUCCUCUUCUCCACAAGCAACCUCAUCCUCUUCUCCUGUUCAACUCAUUUGACACCAGACUGAAAAGGACUGUACAUACAUACCUCUGUGCCCAUCUCAUUGCAACAUGAUCCAUCCAAGGCCAAAGAUGGACGCCUAAAAUGUUAGAAAUGUAAACAAGAUGCUACAAGAGGCUGUUUCUGUGUCCCAAAUGGCAACCCCUAUUACAUCUUUGGGGCCCUGGUUAAACAUAGUGUACUAUAUAGGGAACAGUGUGCAAAUUGGGUUGUAGACGCUGUAUCUAUAUCAGCGAGGGGCUGAUCCUAUAACCUGCAUACCUAUUCCUUCAUCAAGCACGAACACGGCUCUGUUGUCGCCCACGCAUGAUACCUAUGCCAAGUACAAUACACUGUGUGUGUGUGUGUGUGUGUGUGUGUGUGUGUGUGUGUGUGUGUGUGUGUGUGUGUGUGUGUGUGUGUGUGUACGGAGUUCCAAGAAAAGACAUAGGGAGGAUGGCAAAGGAGAUAGCGAUGAGAGUGAGAGCAUACAGUAUGAAAAUACAGACCCCUUGGGAUCUAAAAUGAAUAUGGGGUGCCCUCUUGUGUCUCCUUUUUGUCCAUUUGAGGAUACUACAGCACCCCUGGUGGAGGUUCUUGGAACACUGCUAUUUAAGUCUGAACAGAGGUUGACGAAAACCUUCAAAGUUGGUGGUGCUACCAGGCAGAUGUUUGAGAAAGGGGUUCCAAAAGGGUUCUUUGCCUGUCACAAAAGGACAACCCUUUUUGGUUACAGGUAGAAUUCUUUUUGGUUCCAUGUGGAACCCUCUGUAGAAAGAGUUCUACCUGGAACCAAAAAGGAUUCUCCUAUGGGGACAGUGGAAUAAUCCUUUUAGGUUAUAGAUAGCGCCUUUUUAUCUGAGUGUAGGCCUAUAUUGCAGUGGUGGUUCCGUGGUUUUCUGUAAUAAAAUAAAUAACAAAUACUAUAAAUAUCAGAAAUACUAUGAAACAGACCCACUUUUAGCACACAUUUUCAAGCAGGCAAAGUAACCUUCUAUGUGUGCUGAGGCAUGUGUGAUCCCUCAACAUUGGCAAGGUUGACAAAAAAAGACAUGCUCACAUGCAAACAAAAGUUAACAUGUCUAACUUGCACCGUUAUGCAAUUAUUAGGAGACUAGAUACAAAUAGCUAAUACUGGCUACCAAUGUUCAAGUAUGAAUUUAUUGAGGCAAGCAGAUCAGAUAUGUCAAGGUGGUACCCAAGUAUAUGCCAUGUGUAUAUGUGACACAUACAUAUGUAUGGUCAUAUUUUUGAUGUUUUAUUUCAUUUGUUAUUUUAUGAACCCAUUUAUUGUAUCAUAAUGGAGGUUGGCUAGGUUGCUAAUGGUUUACAUGUAAGAGAAGGGAUUAAGAUGGCGUCUGAACAUUCUGUACUUUUUUCCAACAAUGUUUUAGAUCCAAUUUGUUUUAUUCUCUAUGAACAAAAGCUCAGUUUACUUUAUGUAAUAUAUGUAAAUAUGUGAUGUCAAGAGAAAAUGUGUUAGUGUUAAUAUUUGUACGAAAAUAGCGUUUAACAGUUCGCUAGCUUGAUGCUAACCAAAUUUAGCUUGGCUAAGCGCUUGUUAGCUCUAGGCUAGUUGGUUUCAGUCAAUGUUAGCUUACAUGUUAGUGGUUAAUAAUGUAAUGGUUGUAGCAUUGUUUUGCAUAGGCCUCCAGUAAUUUGCAGUGUUUUCGAAAUUGACACUAAUAGUACAGUGAGUUAUAUAUAUAAUGUGAAUGUGUAGAUGUAUGGUGACUCCGAGUUUGUAUGAACGGACCAACGGGACUGCCAUGUGCAAGUCCUUGAUGGGUACCAGGAAUGGUGGGAGGACAACCUGAAGGUAAUUAUAUUUGCACACAACAGCAGCGUCCAGACGUCCCGAGUACUCACCCUAUCGCCUGCUGUACGGACGGGAUCAGCAGCUGUUUACUGAGGUAAACAAUACAAUUGUAUAUACAAUUAUUGCAUAUACUCUAGUAUAAAAAAUGACCUAGUGUUUGUCUAUUGCUAUUUUUGUUUAACGUACUUUGAGAUCACUUCAAUUUUGAUCAAAUUUCGACCUGAUGUGGUGGAAGUUGUCGGACCUAAUCAGAAGGCCUUCGUGGACCACCUUCAGGCAUGGGCUGAGAACGAUGAAGAGGUUUUUGACCAGUGAGACUGAACAUGGACAAGGUGUACGAGAAACAGAAGGAGAGCCACCGGAGGAGAAUCAAGCAGACCAAGUGCUUCGACAUCCGGGCAAAUGACUUCGCUUGGAAGAAGGAUUAAAGGAAGGCGAGGAAUCUCAGUUCCACAAUAAAUGUUUGUUUUGUUCAAUAAAGUCCAUAAUUUAUGUCCAAAUA